CCCCUAGAUGUUCUGGGCCGCACGCGCGCUACACUGAACAGUUCAACAAGUCUUAACCUUGGCCGAUAGGUCUGGGUAAUCUUUGAACGCUGUUCGUGAUUGGGAUAGACCUUUGCAAUUAUGGGUCUUCAACGAGGAAUUCCUAGUAAACGCAAGUCAUCAGCUUGCAUUGAUUACGGCCCUGCCCUUUGUACACACCGCCCGUCGCACCUACCGAUUGAAUGGUCCGGUGAAAUCUCGGGACGGCGGCUUGGUCGCUUGCGUCCGACUGCUGAAACUUGAUUAAACCAUAUCAUUUAGAGGAAGGUGAAGUCGUAACA
This 320-nucleotide ribosomal RNA is filed under the name uncultured eukaryote. Its description in RNAcentral is "partial 18S ribosomal RNA". It matches the Rfam family "Eukaryotic small subunit ribosomal RNA", at positions 1470 to 1796 of the family's 1831-position model. The record is from RNAcentral.